This 256-nucleotide ribosomal RNA is filed under the name uncultured bacterium. RNAcentral's name for it is "partial 16S ribosomal RNA". It matches the Rfam family "Bacterial small subunit ribosomal RNA", at positions 524 to 776 of the family's 1533-position model. The record is from RNAcentral.
UACAGGGGGGUGCAAACGUUUGCUCGGAAUCAUUGGGCGUAAAGCGCACGUAGGCGGUUCGUUAUGUCGGAUGUGAAAGCCCUUGGCUUAACCGAGGAAGUGCAUCCGAAACUGGCGAGCUAGAGUACGAAAGAGGAUCGCGGAAUUCCCGGUGUAGAGGUGAAAUUCGUAGAUAUCGGGAGGAACACCGGGUGGCGAAGGCGGCGAUCUGGGUCGAUACUGACGCUGAGGUGCGAAAGCGUGGGGAGCAAACAGG